AGUGGCGGACGGGUGAGUAACACGUAAGGAACCUGCCUAUAAGUGUGGAAUAACAGUGGGAAAUCAUUGCUAAUACCGCAUAUUUUGAUUAAGUCGCAUGAUUUAGUCAAGAAAGAUUUAUUGCUUAUAGAUGGCCUUGCGGCUGAUUAGCUAGUUGGUAAGAUAACAGCUUACCAAGGCGACGAUCAGUAGCCGGAUUGAGAGGUUGAACGGCCACAUUGGGACUGAGACACGGCCCAGACUCCUACGGGAGGCAGCAGUCGGGAAUAUUGCACAAUGGGGGAAACCCUGAUGCAGUGACGCCGCGUAUAGGAAGAAGGUCUUAGGAUUGUAAGCUAUUGUUGUGUGGAAAGAAGAAGACGGUACCACAUCAGAAAGCCCUGGCUAAAUAUGUGCCAGCAGCCGCGGUAAUACAUAUGGGGCGAGCGUUAUCCGGAUUUAUUGGGUGUAAAGGGUGCGUAGGCGGAAGAGUAAGUUAGUUGUGAAAUCCCACAGCUCAACUGUGGAAUUGCAACUAAAACUGCUUUUCUUGAGUACUGGAGAGGAAAGUGGAAUUCCUAGUGUAGCGGUGAAAUGCGUAGAUAUUAGGAGGAACACCAGAGGCGAAGGCGACUUUCUGGACAGUAACUGACGCUCAGGCACGAAAGCAUGGGUAGCAAACAGGAUUAGAUACCCUGGUAGUCCAUGCCGUAAACGAUGAAUACUAGAUGUAGGUACAAUAUGUAUCUGUAUCGCAGUUAACGCAAUAAGUAUUCCACCUGGGGAGUACGACCGCAAGGUUAAAACUCAAAGGAAUUGACGGGGGCCCGCACAAGCAGUGGAGUAUGUGGUUUAAUUCGACGCAACGCGAAGAACCUUACCAGGGUUUGACAUGUAUAGGACGAUAUAAGAGAUUAUAUUUCUAGCUUGCUAGUCUAUACACAAGUGGUGCAUGGUUGUCGUCAGCUCGUGUCGUGAGAUGUUGGGUUAAGUCCCGUAACGAGCGCAACCCCUAUGUUUAGUUACUAACAUUAAGUUGAGAACUCUAGACAGACUGCCGGUGACAAAUCGGAGGAAGGUGGGGACGACGUCAAAUCAUCAUGCCCUUUAUGUCCUGGGCUACACACGUACUACAAUGGGUAGAACAGAGGGAAGCAAUACAGUGAUGUGGAGCAAAACCUUAAAUCUAUUCUCAGUUCGGAUUGAAGUCUGAAAUUCGACUUCAUGAAGCCGGAAUUGCUAGUAAUGGCAGGUCAGCAUACUGCCGUGAAUACGUUCCCGGGCCUUGUACACACCGCCCGUCACACCAUGAGAGUUGGGGAUACCCGAAGCCUGUGAGCUAGAGGAGCUGCCUAGGGUAAAACUAGUAACUGGGGCUAAGUCGUAACAAGGUAACC
RNAcentral lists this ribosomal RNA (1376 nucleotides) under uncultured bacterium. Its description in RNAcentral is "bacterial SSU rRNA". It matches the Rfam family "Bacterial small subunit ribosomal RNA". The record is from RNAcentral.